RNAcentral lists this ribosomal RNA (468 nucleotides) under uncultured bacterium. RNAcentral's name for it is "partial 16S ribosomal RNA". It matches the Rfam family "Bacterial small subunit ribosomal RNA", at positions 28 to 507 of the family's 1533-position model. The record is from RNAcentral.
GACGAACGCUGGCGGCGUGCUUAACACAUGCAAGUCGAACGGAAAGGCCCUGCUUUUGUGGGGUGCUCGAGUGGCGAACGUGUGAGUAACACGUGAGUAACCUGCCCUUGACUUUGGGAUAACUUCAGGAAACUGGGGCUAAUACCGGAUAGGAGCUCCUGCUGCAUGGUGGGGGUUGGAAAGUUUCGGCGGUUGGGGAUGGACUCGCGGCUUAUCAGCUUGUUGGUGGGGUAGUGGCUUACCAAGGCUUUGACGGGUAGCCGGCCUGAGAGGGUGACCGGCCACAUUGGGACUGAGAUACGGCCCAGACUCCUACGGGAGGCAGCAGUGGGGAAUAUUGCAAAAUGGGCGGAAGCCUGAUGCAGCAACGCCGCGUGCGGGAUGACGGCCUUCGGGUUGUAAACCGCUUUCGCCUGUGACGAAGCGUGAGUGACGGUAAUGGGUAAAGAAGCACCGGCUAACUACGUG